UGGGGAAUUUUACACAAUGGGCGAAAGCCUGAUGUAGCGACACCGCGUGAGCGAAGAAGCCUUUUGGGGUGUAAAGCUCUGUCAGCAGGGACGAAAAAAAUGACGGUACCUGCAGAGGAAGCAUCGGCUAACUACGUGCCAGCAGCCGCGGUAAGACGUAGGAUGCAAGCGUUGUCCGGAUUUAUUGGGCGUAAAGAGUUCGUAGGUGGUUUGUUAAGUCUGACGUUAAAUACUGGGGCUCAACCCUGGAGCUGCGUUGGAUACUGGCAGACUUGAGUGUGGUAGAGGCAAGUGGAAUUCCAGGUGUAGCGGUGAAAUGCGUAGAUAUCUGGAAGAACACCGGUGGCGCAAGCGACUUGCUGGGCCAUAACUGACACUGAGGAACGAAAGCUAGGGGAGCGAAUGGGAUUAGAUACCCCUGUAGUCC
RNAcentral lists this ribosomal RNA (427 nucleotides) under uncultured bacterium. RNAcentral describes it as "bacterial SSU rRNA". It matches the Rfam family "Bacterial small subunit ribosomal RNA", at positions 355 to 796 of the family's 1533-position model. The record is from RNAcentral.